RNAcentral lists this small nucleolar RNA (123 nucleotides) under Meriones unguiculatus (Mongolian gerbil). RNAcentral's name for it is "Small nucleolar RNA SNORA17 (ENSMUGG00000020291.1)". It matches the Rfam family "Small nucleolar RNA SNORA17". Rfam says of the family: snoRNA ACA 17 belongs to the H/ACA family of snoRNAs and is predicted to guide pseudouridylation of the 28S rRNA at positions U4659 and U4598. Lineage: Eukaryota; Metazoa; Chordata; Mammalia; Rodentia; Muridae. The record is from RNAcentral.
ACUGCCCCUGCAGACAUCACAGGAAUUGCUGUUGUGUCACAUGUGCAUCAGUGGGGGCAGAGAGGAGAAAAGUUGUGCCAGUGUUCUGACCUGUGAACAACUGAAUGCUAGUAGCCUAACAUU